This 644-nucleotide ribosomal RNA is filed under the name uncultured Actinomycetes bacterium. RNAcentral describes it as "bacterial SSU rRNA". It matches the Rfam family "Bacterial small subunit ribosomal RNA", at positions 231 to 885 of the family's 1533-position model. The record is from RNAcentral. Lineage: Bacteria; Bacillati; Actinomycetota; Actinomycetes.
UCGCGGCCUAUCAGCUUGUUGGUGGGGUAACGGCCUACCAAGGCGACGACGGGUAGCCGGCCUGAGAGGGCGACCGGCCACACUGGAACUGAGACACGGUCCAGACUCCUACGGGAGGCAGCGGUGGGGAAUAUUGCACAAUGGGCGAAAGCCUGAUGCAGCGACGCCGCGUGAGGGACGACGGCCUUCGGGUUGUAAACCUCUUUCAGCAGGGACGAAGCGAAAGUGACUGUACCUGCAGAAGAAGCACCGGCUAACUACGUGCCAGCAGCCGCGGUAAUACGUAGGGUGCAAGCGUUGUCCGGAUUUAUUGGGCGUAAAGAGCUCGUAGGCGGUUUGUCGCGUCGGAUGUGAAAACCUAUGGCUUAACCAUGGGCCUGCAUUCGAUACGGGCAAACUAGAGUUCGGUAGGGGAGACUGGAACUCCUGGUGUAGCGGUGAAAUGCGCAGAUAUCAGGAAGAACACCGGUGGCGAAGGCGGGUCUCUGGGCCGAUACUGACGCUGAGGAGCGAAAGCGUGGGGAGCAAACAGGAUUAGAUACCCUGGUAGUCCACGCCGUAAACGUUGGGCGCUAGGUGUGGGGAACCUUCCACGUUCUCCGUGCCGUAGCUAACGCAUUAAGCGCCCCGCCUGGGGAGUACGG